RNAcentral lists this transfer RNA (27 nucleotides) under Chromis punctipinnis (blacksmith). RNAcentral describes it as "partial tRNA-Phe". The record is from RNAcentral. Lineage: Eukaryota; Metazoa; Chordata; Actinopteri; Pomacentridae.
GCUAGCGUAGCUUAACUAAAGCAUAAC